This 844-nucleotide ribosomal RNA is filed under the name uncultured Acidobacteriota bacterium. Its description in RNAcentral is "bacterial SSU rRNA". It matches the Rfam family "Bacterial small subunit ribosomal RNA", at positions 71 to 896 of the family's 1533-position model. Lineage: Bacteria; Pseudomonadati; Acidobacteriota. The record is from RNAcentral.
ACUUGGGCUUCGGUCCAAGUUGAGUGGCGAACGGGUGAGUAACACGUGGGUGACCUACCUUCGAGUGGGGGAUAACGUCCCGAAAGGGACGCUAAUACCGCAUAACAUCCUGCCUUUGAACAGGUGGAGAUCAAAGCCGGGGAUCGCAAGACCUGGCGCUUGAUGAGGGGCCCGCGUCUGAUUAGCUAGUUGGUGAGGUAACGGCUCACCAAGGCGACGAUCAGUAUCCGGCCUGAGAGGGCGGACGGACACACUGGGACUGAGACACGGCCCAGACUCCUACGGGAGGCAGCAGUGGGGAAUUGUUCGCAAUGGGCGCAAGCCUGACGACGCAACGCCGCGUGGAGGAUGAAGGUCUUCGGAUUGUAAACUCCUGUUGCUCGGGACGAAAAGCUUCGACCUAACACGUCGAAGUCUGACGGUACCGAGUGAGGAAGCCCCGGCUAACUCUGUGCCAGCAGCCGCGGUAAUACAGAGGGGGCAAGCGUUGUUCGGAAUUACUGGGCGUAAAGGGCGCGUAGGCGGCCUGCUAAGUCGAACGUGAAAUCCCUGGGCUCAACCCAGGAACUGCGUCCGAUACUGGUUGGCUUGAAUCCGGGAGAGGGAUGUGGAAUUCCAGGUGUAGCGGUGAAAUGCGUAGAUAUCUGGAGGAACACCGGUGGCGAAGGCGACAUCCUGGACCGGUAUUGACGCUGAGGCGCGAAAGCCAGGGGAGCAAACGGGAUUAGAUACCCCGGUAGUCCUGGCCCUAAACGAUGAAUGCUUGGUGUGGCGGGUAUCGAUCCCUGCCGUGCCGAAGCUAACGCAUUAAGCAUUCCGCCUGGGGAGUACGGUCGCAAGGCUG